UAAUUUAUUGUGCUUAAAUACAUAAAUAAAUUCAACUGGAACUGCCCAAGUAAUAUUUACUAGUGUUUUGUCAUCUAAUGAACUAAUGCAAAAAAAUGACGAACGCAAGUAAAACUUACUCCAAGAAGCCAGGCAAUCCAAGCGCAUGCGCAUUGAUUUCUUGGUACAGAAUCAGAUUCAGAAGUGGCGCGAAGAAGAAAGCAACGGGAACUUUUCUUGAAGACUGAUGUGAUUUUUACACGAUUGCACUCACUAUUCAAGCUCCAUGCAAGCAAAUUGAAGAUAAGAGAGAUGCUGUGAUUCGCUGCCUUCUUUCCUACCUUGGAGAGUCAUCUGAAGAACUCAUUGAAGUCUACCAGGAUGUAAGCAGAGACAUGAUUAAAGAUAACAUCACCAAUCAUGUUAUGAAGAUCAUUGUACUGGGCAACACUGCAGGCCAACAUCGCUGAUGUCAUCGUCGUCAUUGAGGGAACUGAGGUGCUGUUGGGAUGUAAGAAUCUCACAAAUGCGUGCCUUCUGCUCAUGGGCUUCAUUUACGCCCUGAACUUAAGCUAUCCACCAAAGCUGAGAAAUACAUUUGAAGUCUUUCAAAAAAUCUUUCUUGGGCUGGAUGCUUUAAAGUUUUCUCCAAAAGUUAGCUCUUUGCAUAGAAAACAGAAGCAGAGUUUUAUUUCAAUGCUGUAUGUGAGAUCAGUUAAGCAUCUUGCAUAAAAUGUUUGGUCUGUUAUGACCUACACAAAGACAUUAAAACAUCUGUGAUGGUUUAAAGAUGCUGAACAAUUUUGGUCGUAUUUUUUGGCCAAUAGCAGAUAAUCUUGAUGUGUCCAUUUCUUUUUUGUGCACUUGUUUUUCGAGAAUUUAAUUAAAAUAAAACUGUAA
Pimephales promelas (fathead minnow) is the source of this 879-nucleotide long non-coding RNA. RefSeq lists it as uncharacterized. The record is from RefSeq and is a predicted model, not a curated record. Lineage: Eukaryota; Metazoa; Chordata; Actinopteri; Cypriniformes; Leuciscidae.